GAGCCCUGACGAAGGAGCAGGAAUGGUGCUGCUGGGAGGAGCUGUUUAUGAGAAAAUGUCCCAGAAGAUAAAACCAGCUGGCUUCAGAAAAGUGGUUCAGUGCUAAGUGCUUCCAGGACCUGCAACUGGAGCUGUGGUAAUUGACAGCAGUUCCCUUUAUUGUGAUACAGUGGGCCACGCAAAGCCCCUUAUUUCCUCUGUGUGCCUUGCACCAGUCCUGAGCAGUUCCGGCCUGCAGCAGAGGCCUGGGGACCUCCCACAUCCCAAUGCCACUCUGGAAGCCUGUGAGUGCCUCAUGUGGAGUCCUGGCUGCUGUCUGCUUGCUUGAACACCAGUAGAAAUGAAGAGUACUAAAGAGGUGAACGGCGCUGAAGAUUUCUGACAUCCUUUUGAAGGCUUCCUGCAGGAAAGAUGAAAUUUCAAACCUGUAUAUUACCUGAACCUUGAUCUCAUCCUGUCUGAUAUUGAAAUAUAUGACCCAAAAGUGCUUCCCUAUGAAUUAGGCACUCAUCAUGCAUUUUAACCUUCUUGGAGAAAAUUAUUCAGGUCUCUGAGUUGCCUGCAUGAGCUAUCUUUUAUUCAUUAGAAUCCUAAAUGUUAUUGACAUGCAUUCUUAAUUAUUCCCUGCUGGAAACAGUAGUGUUCCUGAACAAGUAUUUUGCAUUUGUUAUGUCCUGCUGCUAGCAUAGUUAAUAAUGUAUAUAAUAAUAAAAUAAGAAACUAUCAGAGCAGAAUAAGAGAACUUAUUAAUAUGAUUCAAUAUAAGAAAAUUGUUACUUCUGCCUUCCACAGCCUAACAACAACAUUUUCUGAAUACUUCAAGCACACAAAAUCUUUGGGAUAGCUCUAGAAUGGAAAUGACACUGCCAAAAGAAAAGCUGGCAAGAUGGCACCUGCUGUCCCUCCAAAAGCAUUAACUGGAGUAGUUAAUCCUUGGUGGAGCUCAAGGUGUUGCCAGAAGUUUUCAAAAGCGGUAUUUGGACAUGUGUCUGGAAUUAGUGCUGUUUAUUCAAACAGAAAAUCCCAACCCUAAAAAUUAUAUUUGUGCUUCAGAGCUUCCCCGUCUCAUCUUUU
This is a non-coding RNA of Zonotrichia albicollis (white-throated sparrow), 1074 nucleotides long. Lineage: Eukaryota; Metazoa; Chordata; Aves; Passeriformes; Passerellidae. The record is from RefSeq and is a predicted model, not a curated record.